This 30-nucleotide non-coding RNA is filed under the name Mus musculus (house mouse). The record is from RNAcentral. Lineage: Eukaryota; Metazoa; Chordata; Mammalia; Rodentia; Muridae.
UUCCCACAGAAAUCUCAACUAAGAUAGUAC